AGCACCGCCGGGUAGCUAAGUACGGAAGGGAUAACGGCUGAAAGCAUCUAAGCGGGAAGCCUCCCUUGAAACUAGGUAUCCCUGAGAGCCGUGGAAGACCACCACGUUGAUAGGCCAGGUGUGGAAGCGCGGUAACGCGUGAAGCUAACUGGUACUAAUUGCUCGAUCGGCUUGAUUCCUUUUCAU
This 186-nucleotide ribosomal RNA is filed under the name Rhodospirillaceae bacterium. RNAcentral's name for it is "partial 23S ribosomal RNA". It matches the Rfam family "Bacterial large subunit ribosomal RNA", at positions 2734 to 2925 of the family's 2925-position model. The record is from RNAcentral. Lineage: Bacteria; Pseudomonadati; Pseudomonadota; Alphaproteobacteria; Rhodospirillales; Rhodospirillaceae.